This 65-nucleotide transfer RNA is filed under the name Pheidole flavigaster. Its description in RNAcentral is "tRNA-Arg". The record is from RNAcentral. Lineage: Eukaryota; Metazoa; Arthropoda; Insecta; Hymenoptera; Formicidae.
UUUCUUAAAGUAAUAUAUUACAUUUAAUUUCGACUUAAAAUUUUGUUUAAAUAAAACUAAGAUAA